This 42037-nucleotide long non-coding RNA is filed under the name Medicago truncatula (barrel medic). RNAcentral's name for it is "long non-coding RNA (MTRU_LNC001485)". The stretch from base 28417 to 28503 matches the Rfam family "tRNA". The record is from RNAcentral. Lineage: Eukaryota; Viridiplantae; Streptophyta; Magnoliopsida; Fabales; Fabaceae.
ACAACACCAUGAAUGCUUGGAUUUAUCACAUGGAUUUUAAGUAUGGAUUUUCCACUGCUGACAUACCUUCAAUUCAACACAUGCUAAAGCUAAACCACACCUACUAGCUAUAUAUACCAUUAGCCACGUUUACCUACACUCAAUGUUUCUACAACCAUAUAUAUGUCACUCGAUGUUUCUACAACCAUAUGUCACUCAAUGGCUCAAUAAUAGAGAGAAAAGUUUUGGAGUAUAUCUUAUUAUAUAUUAAGGAUCAAAUAAUUGAGACUUGAAUGUGUAUAUAAAAUAAGGACUUGUUUAACAUAAGAAUUUAUGUUGUCAUGAAAUGGGUGUUACAAAGCGAGUAUAAUGUCACCUUGUCAAAAACUGUUUAAACCUUGUAGUGUUUUGGAAAGUCUUUUUGUCAUGGUAUGUUAUUUUUUUUUUAUAUAUAUAGAUUGCAUAGUAAAUUUGUAAUUUCUGUUUUAUAAUCUCAAAAACAUGUUUACAAAACAUGCAUUUGUGGACUGACUUUUGUUUUAAUUCUCAUAGAAAGAACUACAGCUGCAUAUUUUAGGGCUAUAAAUUGAUGAGCACAAAUUAACAAAUGUUGUUCUGCCAAUGACUGUUAUGAGGGAGUAGCCAUCUCCUUUUUGCAAAGAGAAUGGAUGAUUGUGAUUGGUUAAUCAAUUUAAUUUUUCUAACUUUGAUCAAAAAAACAAUAAAAAUCUUCUUACAGCUUUGCUACAAAAGAUUCAAAGGUGUGUUGCUCUUAAAAGGAGACAUUUUUAUCUGCCACAAUAAAGGAAUGGACUAAGUCAUGUACCAACAUCAUAACAAUUAAUAAGUCAUGCACUACAAGUCAUGUACCAAAAUGAUUAUGCUUACUAUGAAAAAUGGAAUUUAAAUUAUCAAUUAUGGAAUGUUUAGUUGCAAUUGCAUGACUUGCAACUUUACAGGUCUUGUUCAACAAAAUUCUCUUGUGCCUACAACUUCAUAAGACCAUCAUCUGUUACCUAUGUUUUCUUAGUUUUGUCUUGUGUUGUGUAAUUCACACUCUAAGUAAUUAAACAACAAUGAGAAUUACAUUACUUCCAUUGUUUUCCUUCAUUCUCUGCUACUACUGCAUUUAUAUCAGUUUCCAAAUCACCGUUGCCUCAGCCAAAUGUCUCGAAGAUCAACAUCUAUUGCUACUUCAACUAUAAAAUAAUCUCGCAUUCGACCCUGAAAUUUCCACCAAACUAAAAUUCUGGAAUAAAAUCAUUGCUUGCUGCGAUUGGAGUGGUGUAACUUGUGACAGUGAAGGACAAGUGAUUGGCCUUGACUUGAGUGAAGAAGAUAUCUCUGAUGGUUUUGAUAAUUCAAGUAGUCUUUUCAGUCUCGAACAUCUCCAGAAACUGAAUUUGGCUUAUAACUUGUUUGAAACUGUCAUUCCAUCGGGAUUCAACAAGUUGGUGAUGUUGAAUUAUCUGAAUUUUUCACACUCAAGCUUUAAGGGAGAGAUUCCUGUAGAGAUUUCAAAUCUUACAAAUUUGAUUACUCUUGAUAUCUCUGGACCUAAACAUGCGAUAAAGAAUGCGUUGAAAAUCAACAACCAAAAUCUACAAAAGUUUGUCCAAAAUCUGACCAAGAUUAGGCAACUGUAUCUAGAAGAUAUAACUCUAACAUCUGAGGGGCAGGAAUGGAGCAAUGCUUUGUUGCCACUGCGUGAACUACAAAUGUUGAGCUUGUAUAAAUGUGAUCUAGCAGGGCCACUUGAUUCUUCCCUAUCAAAACUAAGGAACCUAUCAGUCAUUAUUCUUGAUAGGAACAAUUUUUCUUCCCCCGUUCCAGAAACAUUUGCUAAUUUUCAAAACCUGACCACCCUUAGUCUUUCAGAUUGUGGAUUGACUGGUACAUUUCCACAGAAGAUCUUUCAGAUUGGAACACUGUCUGUUAUUGACAUAACAUACAACAGCAAUCUCCAUGGUUCAUUUCCAGAAAUUCAGCUGAGUGGAUCUCUCCAGACCUUAAGGGUAAGUUUCACAAACUUUUCUGGAGCAAUUCCACACAUCAUUGGUAAGAUGAGGCACUUAUAUGAAUUGGAUCUUUCUAAUUCUCAAUUUAAUGGAACACUUCCCAAUUCAUUUUCAAACCUAACAGAACUAAGUUACUUGGAUUUGUCAUUUAACAGUUUCACAGGUCCGAUACCAUCAUUUAGUAUGGCCAAAAACCUUAACCACAUAGACCUAUCUUAUAAUAGUUUAAGUGGUGAGGUUUCAUCCUCUUUUCACAGUGAAGGACUGCUGAAUCUUGUUAAACUUGACUUGAGUUUUAAUUCUAUCAAUGGUAGCAUUUCAUCAUUCCUUUUUACACUCCCAUAUCUGUAAAGUCUCCGACUUUCAUCCAACCACUUUAACAAUCUAGAAGAAUUCACAAUCAUAUAUUCCUCCGUAUUAGAAUCCCUUGAUUUAAGAAGCAAUGAUCUAUCAGGGCCUUUUCCAAAAUCUAUAUUGCAGCUUGGUUCACUUUAUCGCCUUGAUCUUUCCUCUAACAAGUUCACUGGAUCCGUCCAAUUAGAUGAACUUUUUGGCCUUACAAGUUUAAGUGAACUACAUCUUUCAUAUAACGACUUAUCAAUCAGUUGGAAUGCUUUAAAUUAUGAUUUACUUUCUAUUCCCAAAAUUAAUGUUCUAGGUUUGGCAUCCUGCAACUUUAAAACAUUUCCUAGUUUCUUGAUUAACCAAUCCGAAUUGGGUUAUCUAGACCUUUCAGAUAACCAGAUUCAUGGAAUAGUACCAAACUGGAUUUGGAAACUACCAUAUCUUGAUACGCUAAAGAUUUCUCACAAUUUUCUCACUAACUUUCAAAGACCAAUGAAGAAUCAUAUUCCCAACCUUAUACUUCUUGACUUUCAUAACAACCAGCUGUAAGGACCAAUACCCAUGUUUCAUCAAUCUGCUAUUUAAUUACUUGUCUUCCACAUUGUUUCUAUUUCUCUCAAAUAAUAACUUACAGGGAAGUUUCCCUCAUUUCCUCUGCAAUGCUUCAAAUCUUCAAGUACUUGAUCUUUCCAUUAAUAAAAUUUUUGGAACAAUUCCCGCAUGUUUAAUGACAAUUAAUGGCUGGUACCAUUUAGGUCAUAAAUUUGAGUAAAAACAAUCUCACUGGCUCUAUACCAGAUAUGUUUCCUGCUUCUUGUGUUGCGAGGACUUUGAACAUCAAUGGGAAUCACUUACAUGGGCCGCUUCCGAAGUCUCUUUCCCACUGCUCAUCAUUAAAGGUGUGUUAGACAUUGGAUCAAAUCAAAUUUUUGGUGGCUUUCCUUGCUUUUUAAAAAACAUACAAAAUCUUAGUGUCUUGGUUUUGCGGAAUAACAAGUUUCAUGGAUCCAUGGAAUGUUCACAUUCACAAGCAGAUAAGCAUUAGAAAAUGAUUCAGAUUGUGGACAUUGCUUUCAACAAUUUCAAUGGAAAACUACAAGAAAAAUACUUCGCAACAUGGGAUAGAAUUGCAAGAUGAAGAUGAUGUUAUAUCAGACUUCAUCCACACGCUAAAGAAAGACUACACAUAUUAUCAGGAUACUGUGACAGUUUCCAAUAAAGGUCAGGAGAUGAAGUUGGUUAAAAUUCUAACAAUAUAAUCUUCACAGCGAUUGAUUUCUCAUCCAAUCAUUUCGAAGGUCUGAUGAAAUUCAAAGCAGUCCAUGUUCUCAACUUUUCAAACAAUGCUUUCUCUGGUGAAAUCCCAUCAACUAUCGGGAACCUGAAACAGUUAGAGUCAUUAGACCUCUCAAAUAACUCCUUGGUUGGUGUAAUACCUGUGCAACUGGCAAGCUUGUUGUUCCUCUCUUAUUUGAACCUUUCCUUCAAUUAUUUGGUUGGAAAGAUCCCGACAGGAACUCAACUUCAGUCAUUUCAAGCGACUUCGUUUGAAGGAAACAAUGGGCUAUAUGGACCUCCACUGCCUGAAAAACCAAAUGGUAAAAGGCAGGAUGAGCUGCCCCAAGAACCAGCCUGUGAAAGGUUAGCUUGUUCAAUUGACUGGAAUUUUUUGAGUAUGGAGUUGGGAUUUGUUUUUGGGCUCGGAAUCAUCAUUGGUCCCACCUUGUUUUGGAAGCGAUGGAGAGUAUGUUAUUGGAAACGCGUAGAAAAAUUAUCUGUUGGAUCUUCCGAAGGAUGUAUUUUGAAUAUGCAACUGAUAGAGGACAGACAUACAGAAUUUUAAGGGUGUGAUAACAUCAGUGCUAGGGAUUGUGAUAACUAUUAAAAUAAUGUUUUGUAUGUAAAUUUAAGUUGUACUUUGUGUUUACUCAUUUAUGUGUGGUGAUAUGUAUUAUAACUUGAAGAAACAUUCUAUAAAGUUUAAAUAAAACAUUGUCAUUGAGAAUUAUAAUGAUAGUGUUUCAUUCAAAAUAGAAAUAUAUAAGUUGAUUUAUAACUAUAUAUAAACAUCAUAAUCAAACCGAAAGCACAAACGAAAGCUUUAUAACUCUAAAAAAAAAAAAAAAAACCGAGAGGAUACAACUCCAAAAUCUAGAUAUAGAGCCUUCAAAACUUUAUAUAUCAACCCAAUUACUUCAUUCUGUUCCUUUUUGGUAAAACAUUUGUUUAAUUUGAAUCUGAUUGUUAGCUAGAUAUUGACACCAUUACAUACACAUUGAUACCAUUCUAUGCCUAACAUCUUGUUAAUUUUUGAGUUGAUCUUGUUAACAUGUUGACAACUGUUUUAUUCACAUAUUUUUAAAUUAAAAUAUCUAAUUAUUAUGUUCUAUGUUUUGAAGGUCUAACUCAGUUCCUGUGAUUUCCAAAUUUUGAAGUAGAAGUUUAUCCAGCAUAACAGUAUAUGAGAGUUAACAUACAUUCUGUUCAGUGUCAUGGUGACAAAGAAUAUAAUAAAUGGUCAUAUAAAACUCUAAAUACACUGAAAAAAGAAAAUUAAUCCCUCCCCUCCAUCCACAGGGAGACGUGAGUAUUACUUCCUCAGGAACACAGUCAGUAGGUGAAUCUGAAUCUCUAAUACCACUGUCUAUGUUUCUUUUAAAUACAUCAUUUAAAAAAGAAAUUCAAACUAUAUUUCAUUUCUCUGUCAAAUUAUAGUGUUGAUUAUAUUUAACUAGGCAUGAAUUAUGCUGAAGAACUUAGAAGAGGUGGAAUUUCCUUGAUUAUUUAAUUGUAGAUUACAUAUGUAUGAAGGAUUUAUAGUGCAUGAUUGUAGUUCUGAGUAAACAUUAGUAUAAUAGAUUGCAAGAUACACACUUCUGAAUUUAUUCUGGUACACUCAUUAGUAACUAAUGCUACUACCACCUUAAAACUGUGUAAGUUUGUCCUCCUUGUUUUACAUAUUCAAAAUGCAUCCAAGGGAAUAUCCAGCAAAGAAUUUUGUCCAUGAGUUUCCAAUAACCUACCCUCCAUUGCUUCCAAAACAUGAUGGGACCAAUAACACUUCCAAGCCCAAAAAUAAAUCCUAGUUCCACACUUAAAAAAUUCCAAUCAAUUAAACAAGAUAACUUUCUACUUCUACAUGCUGGCUGUGGAUGCAAUUCCUGCUUUUUAUCAUAUGCUUUUCUAGUCAACAGAGGUCCAUAUAAUCCGUCGUUUCCUUUAAAGGAAGAAUCGUCAAAUGACUGAAGUUGAGUGCCUGUUGGAAUCUUCCCCGCGAAAUGAUUGAAUGAGAGGUUCAAGUAAGAAAGGAAUGACAGACUUGCAAGUUGCAUGGGAAUUUCACCAAUCAAAGAGUUAUUUGAGAGGUCUAAUGACUCCAACUGUUUCAAGUUUCCAAUAGAAGAUGGGAUUUCACCUGAGAGACAAUUGUUUGAAAAGUUGAGAACAUGAAGUGCUUUGAAGUUCAUCGUCGCUUCUGGUAUUUUACCUUCAAAAUGAUUGGAUGAUAAAUCAAUGGCUGUGAAGAUUGUUAGAAUCUUAAUCAACUCCAUUUGUUGACCUUUAUUGGAAAUUGUCACACUAUCCUGAUAAUAUGAUUCCUCGUUCGCCUGAGAAUGGAUAAAGUCUGAUCGAACAUUAUUUUCAUCAUGCAUAAAUCGUUCCCAUUUGAAAUACUUUUCAAGUAGUUUUCCAUUGAAAUUGUUGAAAGCAAUGUCGACAAUUUGAAUCAUUUUCCACGGCUUAUUUUCUAGUGAAUGUGAACAUUCUAAGGAACCAUGAAGUUUGUUGUUCCGCAAAACCAAUACACUAAGUGUUGGUAUAUUCUUCACGAAGCAUGGAUAACCACCAACAAUUUGAUUUGAUCCAAUAUCCAAUACCUUUAAUGAUGAGCAAUGGGAGAGAGACUUGGGAAUUGGCCCAUGUAAGAGAUUUUCAUGGAAGUUCAAAGUCCUUAAGGCACAAGAUGGUGGAAACAUAUCUGGUAUGGGGCCGGUGAGAUUGUUCUUUCUUAAAUUUAAUGCCUCAAGGAUACGAGUCAUUGUCAUUAAACAUGGAGGAAUUGUUCCAGAAAUGUUGUUGAAGGAAAUAUCAAGCACUUGAAUAUUUGAAGCUCUGCAGAGGGAAUGAGGGAUGUUUCCUUGUAAAUUAUUAUUUGAAAGAGAUAGAAACUUUGUGGAAGACAGGUAAUUGCCAAUAUCUUGUGAGAUAACUGAAAAUUUGUUUGUUGAGUAAUCCAAAUAAUCAGAAGAUUUAGAAAAAACUGGUAUUGACCCCUGAAGUUGGUUGUUAUGAAGGUCUAAUAUCCAAAUGGAAGUAAGAUUUUGCAUAGGUCCUUCCAAGUCGAUAAAAGAAUUGUGAGAAAUAUUAAGGACUUGAAGAUAUGGUAGUUUCCAAAUCCAAUUUGGUACUAUUCCAUGAAUCUGGUUAUCUGAAAGGUCUAGAAUGGUCAAUCUGGAUUGGUUUAUCAAGAAACUAGGGAUAGUUUUCAAGUUGCAGGAUGCCAAUCUUAGAACGUCAAAGUUGGGAAUCGUAGACAGAUCAACAUUUGAACCUUUUCCAUUGAUUAUUGAUAAGUUGUUGUAUGAAAGGUAUAAACUAGUUAAGUUUUUGAGCUCAAAAAGUUUAUCUAGUUGGAGGGAUUCAUUAAACUUGUUAGACGAAAGGUCAAGUGAAUAAAGUGAACCGAGCUGAACAAUGGAUAUUGGAAAAGGCCCUGAUAAAUCAUUGCUGCUUAAAUCAAGAAUGUUCAAUGAGGAAGACAUGAUUGUGAAUUCUUCUAAUAUACUAAAUUGGUUGAAUGAAAGCCGAAGCUCUUGUAAUAAUGGGAGUCUAAAUAGGAAGGAAGGGAUGAUACCGUUCAUAGAAUUGUUAAUUAAGUAAAUAGUGACAAGAUUCCGCAAUCUUUUAACGUCUAAGAAGGGAAUAGGACCAGUGAAUUUGUUAGAUGACAGAUCCAAGUAACUGAGGUGUGUGAGGUUUGACAAUGAAUUUGGAAGGGUUCCAUUAAAUUGACAAAAAGAAAGAUCCAAUUCAGAUAACUGCCUCAAGUUGCCAAUAGAGCUAGGUAAUGGUCCAGAGAAGUUUGUGUCACUCACUCUAAUUCUAUGAAGAGAUUCACUUAGUGAGUAGUUUGGAAAUGAACCACGGAGAUUUUCGUUGGAAAAUAAGUCAAUCACAGACAAUGUUCCAAUCUGAAAGAUCUUCUGUGGAAAUGUACCGGAUAAUGCACAAAAUGCAAGACUGAGGGUAGUCAAGUUUUUAAAAUUUGCAAAUGUUUCAGGAACUGGGGAUGAAAAAUAGUUCUCAUCAAGAAUAAUGACUGAUAGGUUCUCUAGUUUUGUUAGGGAAGAAUCAAGGGGACCUAAUAGACCACAGGAAGACAUGCUCAAUUCUUGUAGGUUUCGCAACGGCAACAAAGCAUUGAUCCAUUCAUGUCCCUUAGCUGAUAUACUUACACUAUCUAGAUACAAUUGCCUUAGUUUUGUCAGAUUUUGCACAAGCUUUUGUAGAUUUUGGUGGCUAAUUGUCAGCCUUUGCAAUAAAAAAUAGCCAGGAGAAGAGAUAUCAAGAGUAACCAACCUUAUAAGCUGGGAAAUUUCUAUUGGAAUCUUCCCGUGAAAUCUAGCAUCUGUAAGAUUCAGAUAUGUCAACUUCUCCAGCUUGUUGAAUGCUGAUGGAAUGGAAGAAUUGAAAUUGUUAAAAGCCAAGUUCACUUUUUGGAGAUGUUGGAGACCAAAUAGACUGCUUGUAUUUUCAAAUCCACCAUAGAUAUAUUCUGCACUCAAGUCAAGGCCAAUAACAUGUCCUUCACUGUCACAAGUUACACCACUCCAGUUGCAGCAUGCAAUGCUUUGAUUCCACAUCCUCAGUUUGCUUGAACUUUCUACCUUGAACAUGAGACUAUUCUUUAAUUGGAGUAGCAAUGAUUCUUGAUCAUCAAGACAUUUGGCAGAGGCUAAAGAGAUUUGGAAAGUGAUAUAUAUGCAGUAGCAGAAGAGAAGAAAGGAAAACAAUGAAAGUAUUGUAAUUCUCAUUGUUGUUUACUCUUGGUGAUAACCACAACAAAAAUGGUUGUGUUAUAAAGGUUUAGAAACAACCUUCCCUGAGUGGAACAAGUCCAAAGUUAAGGGAAAUUUCGUUGAACAUGAUCCAUGAAGUUGCUGCAAAGUCAACUAUGCCUUGCAUUAUUUCAAACUAAAAGUACUAGGGUGCUUUUCAAAAUCUUAUCUAUGACCCUACAAUUUUCUUUUCCAAUUUUGGAUUACUGAAAGUCAAAACAAAGACCCUACAAUUUCUUAUGAAAUAAAUGCUUGAUAUUAACUAUGCUGCAUAAGUAUAUGCCGACCGUUGACAAAGUAUUUUGUUAUAGUCAUUGAUGUAGAACUUAACAAAUUUCAUUUUUUCUUUCACAUGUGUUGUUUCUUUCUUUUCUUUUUUUACUUCAGGUUGAGGAAUUGGAGAUAUUUACUAUUUCUUCUGAAAUUUCAAAUUUGGCAAGGUCUUGUUUGGUGAAUAGGAUAGGAUAGAGAGAUAAUAAAAUAAAGAUUUGGAUGAGAAGGUGAUAUGAUAGACACUUGUUUGGUGAAUAGGAAUUGGAGAUAUUUACUGUGACUUGAAUUCAAUUCCAAAAUUCUCUAAUUGGUAUAUUGUACAUUAAUUUCAUUGCAAAUCUUCAAUAAAAUUGUAUGAGAUUGUACAUCCCCUCAUCUAACUUUAACCUUCAAAGACAAAUGCCAAGUGCGAAUUCUAAAUUCAUAAGUUGAUUCCUUGCAUGUUUAGUCUUUCCUUCAUUUCAUUCUAGUACAAAGUUUAGCUGUUUCACAGCAUUUCAACCAGAAAAAAUAAUGCUCCAAGAAUUUUUAGACUAGAAUCAUAGACAAUUAACAUUGUUUAGCAUCUAAUAAGUCCAACUAAAAGUUAUCUAUUGAUUAAACCAGAACUAGAAAGGUAGUUAUCUACAAUCACAAAAUCAUUUUAGCUUUUCCUUGAUGAUCAUUGACCAAACUGGUUCAAAGGUUAAGGAAAAAAUGAAUGGUGUUAACAUCCUAAAUCAAGGAUAGCUACAUUCGUUGGAGCUAUGACCAUAAGAAUCUGUUGCAGCAACUGUAGCAAGUCGGCCUGUGUCAUUCUUCAAACUCCCUCAUUAACAAUUCUCCUGAUCUAAGCAGCUCUGGUUCUUCUCUGAAAGCAAAAUAUAACAUAGUUAAUAUUUAUGAAUAGCCAAGUAUUCAAACAUAUACAUAUAAUAUCUCAGGAGGGGAUAUAUUGGUAUUGCUGUGACUGGAAUUUGUUCCCGGAGGCAUCUUUGGAACUUUUGAAUUGGUUGGGAUAGAAGUUCGAGCCGGAUUGAAUAAGCAUUUCACAACACUGGAUCCUUGAACCUGUGUUCCACUUGGUACACAGGUCCAGCCGAUGAUUGAGUUGCAGAAGAAGGGUGAUAAACUACUUGAUGAUUGACUGCUUUGUUUGAUUUUGGCAGUGUGUCUUGACCUGAGAUUGAGGACAGAACAAAUAUUAAAAUCAACGAUUUCAUGAAAGAUUAACGCAUAUACAUAUCGGAUACACAAGCUAGGAGACAAAUACAACUAUACCUGAGACAGGAAUUUUCCUGCUGGUAGUGGAUGAUCUACCACGAGGUCUUUUUUCAAUUGAAGGUGCAUGCUCCACUGCUCUAGUAUGUUUUUCUUUUUCUGUCAGAUACACUCAAAACAGGUGUUUCGAAACUUCUAUUCUCUGAAUGUUAGACUGAGGCGCUAAGAGCAUAUUUGAUGUGGUCUGUGUCGCGGGGGAAGCAGAAGUAGUAGUAGGAGAGCCUGAAAAGUCGAAUGUUAAAUCGGUUUUCAUUUCAAUUGAAACUUAGCCCUAAAAUGUUAAAUUGUUGUUGUUAGACUGAGGCACUGAGAGCAUAUUUGAUGUGGUCUGUGUCGCAGGGGAGGCAGCAGCAGUAGUAGGAGCACCUGAAAAGUCGAAUUUUAAAAUACUGAAUCGAUAAUCAUUCUUGGCUCGCAAAGUUGCACACUUCAAACACAACAGAAGAAAAUUGUGACAGUGAAGAUAUGUAGAAGUCCCCAUUGUUCUGCUCGGAAUCAAAAUAUGGUAAACUAACCCCCAACAAAACUUUGUAGUAUGAAUGUUAUGUAACUUUCAAGUACAAAACGAUUCAUACAUAAAAACACCAAAUUGAACCUGAACAUUGUCAGAGAAAUUCAUUUGAUCAUGUAAAGUUUAUGACAUUUUUUGUUUAGAAUUACAGUCUGAAACCAAACCACAACUACAAUUCAGCCAUAAUUUUUAGCAGUUGUCAGCAUUUUCUGUAAUCAUGGAGUAAUUUUUACAUGAGUACAAUGCUUAUAGACACAAUCAUCACAAUAAUAAGAACAUAUUCACACAUGAUUUUGUUCUUUUUCAGUGUUAUUAAAAUAUCUUGUAUCUUUAAUUGAUUGCAUCUAUAAAAACUACAAUAGUGCAAGAAUUAAUCUGCAAUCACAAUAUUAGCCUUGAAUAACGACACAAUCGAUUGCAAUUCUCCACAAUAUCAACCACUCAUUAGAGCACAAUUCUCCGCAAUAUCAAGAAUCAAAGCACGACCUUGUGGUUAACAGCCACACGCUCUAACUAACUGAGCUAUUCCAGCACAUAUCAUAUCUUAACAAAUAUACAUAUUUAUCUUAAAAUACUGAAUAGGAAAUUAACGUAAGUAAAUUCUUUCAUAUGAUUUUAUGAAAUUUAUUCGAUAAAACAUGUUUCAUGUAAUGUAGCACAUUUUUUUUACGAUCUCAUUCUUGAGUGGCACGUAAAUUUUUCCUAAUCGUUGUAAAUGUUUAAACAGCUUUUGUUAUCAUUAUUUUGUUUCAAAAAAAAGGAAAUAUCACAAUCAAACUAAAAACAAAAAGGAAAGCUCUACAAACCCACUUGGGUUUGGGUUUGGUUUGAGAAUAUGCUCCUCUUUAAAGUUUCAAGUUCGAUUCUUCCUGGCCUAAUUUGGGAGGGCAAAAGGCAAUUGCAAUGAAAUUGAUUGGAAAAAAUUUGCGUCCAAUAAAAUUUGAACUUAUACCAGUUUAGAAGACCUCUGUCUUAUCCAUUAGACAGUGGACGCUUUUCUUUUUUCUUUUCUUUUUCACAAAAUUUUUGUGAAAAGAAAAAGAAAAAAGAAUUCUAAAAAAUACUCUAUCUAUGAGAAUAUAUUUAGAAUAAUAAUUCUAAAUAGAAUAAAAUAUGCAAGGUACAGGUUCAAACCCCGACCAACACCAAAAAAAGAAUAAUUAUUCUAAAUAGAAUAAGACUAAAUCAUUCAAAUUUAAUAUUAAUAACAAAUAUAUUGUUCUUUAAAAAAAUGAAGUCAUUUAGUAAGAAUUCCAUAAUAGAAAAAAAUAUAUUCGAAUAGAAUAUAUAGAGAAAUAGGAUAUACGCGGGUAGCGGGAAUCGAACCCACAUCGUUAGCUUGGAAGGCUAAGGGUUAUAGUCGACGUUCAUGAAUGAACGUCUCUAAUUCAAAAUCGAACGUGAAACUUUUGUUUCAUUCAGCUCCUUUACAUAAUAAUUUAAGAGAUAAAUGGAAUACAUGAAGAAAAAAAAUGAUCCAUAACAUCUAUGUCAGCCUUUCGAUAUGAAUACAUUUAAAACACGUUGCUUUUAAGAUGAUCCCUCUAGAAGAGGAGUAUUAGAACAAUAUGUUUUUUUUCUAAUUACUUCGUUCUCUAUUUCUAUUUGAGAUAAUCUUUAGGAAAUGAAUAAAAUAUUCAUCAAGCUUAAUAAAUAUGUUGAUGUUUUUAAUAAACUAAAAAAAAUUAUUAAUAGCUAUUUUGCUUCAAUUUCUCCUAUACAAAACAAAUAAUAAAAAAAAUGGAAGAUUUAGUUACGAUUGGAAACAAAUUUUCUAUAUUAUUCUCCCUGGAUCCUAUACUCAUAUUCAAAAAUUUGGAUUCUGGAUCCAAUUGCAAAAACUUAUGUUUCAUAAUUUUAGAAUCAAUUCUAAUCUAAAUUAUAUACAAAUUACGAUAAUGUAUAUUAUUCCUUGAAUCGUUCCUUGAGAGGUAUAAAGGAUUAAAUCCCUUUAAGUAAAAAAUAAAGUUUUUGAUGGUGAUAUGAAUCACGCAAGGGACCCCUUAACUAUUAAGGGAUCUAUAUAACGAAUCACACUUUUACCACUAAACUAUACCCGCUACAAUACCAUUAUUGUAUAUAAAAGGAUUUUUUGUCGAACAAGGGAAUCCGUCCUAAUUAUGCAAUAGGUGCAUAAUUUUACGAUAAUUAGAGUGUUGACGUGUUUCGUAAAGGGGCCCCUAAUAAAAUUUAGAAAAGGGGACGAAUCUUAUUUUUUGAUUUUCUUUUAGCUGAACGUAUAAAAAAAAAAAAAUCAACAAUUCUCUCUUUCUUUAUAAUAUGAUAAAUAGAAAGAAAAAAAAAAAAAAAGACAGAUAAGAUAUAUCAAAUAUGAGAAUGAGAAUUAAAUAGGACUUUUAAUCUGAAUAUAUAUUUAGGUUAUUUUAACAUAAAAUAUGUGUUUAUUGCGAUUCGAUUCAAAUAUCUGGUUGAUAACUAUAACAAGUACUCCCAUCGUCAUAAAUCAUAAGCCGCUUUGAAAAAAAAUUGUCGUAAAUUAUAGGUUUCCUCACAAUACAAAUGAAUAAUUAAUAUCAUUUUUCCAAUCAUAACUUUAACUAUUUUUUAUAUUCUCUUCUUUUAAGUCUUUAAUUCAUCAGUCUUAAACCUUAUAGUUUUCCUACACAAAAAUUAAUUAAAUUUUUAAAUUUAUGUGAAAUUGUCAAAACGACUUAUAAUUUAAGGCGGAGAGAGUAAUUAGUAACAACUCAGAUAAUAAUUUUCCCAAAGAAUCACAUAAUUAUUUCCCUAAAGAAUCUAAUAAUUAGUGAUAAAUGGAUAAAAAAAUUUGUUAACAUCAACCCUAAUACUGAUAAUUAAGCAUCACAACAAAACUCAUACAUGCAGGUACCUGCUCAAACUCACCCCAAUUUGACGGUUUUUCUGCUUUGACUGAGUUUGGAUAUAGUUUUGGGUUUUCUCCAAUUUUAAAACACGGGUGUGAGACAAGUAAUAAGAAUAUAUGUACCUAUCCAAACUCAUACUCGAAUCCAUUCUCGAAUGUUAUAAAUUUAUAAUUACUUUAUUACCUCUUUUUAUUUGGUAUGCCAUGUUAUAAAAAUUGCCAUUUAUAUUUAAAAGAGCAACCAAAUCAUUUGGUCAAUGAAAUCUUAAAGUAAACAUAAUGUUGGGUAAUGUAUUACAAAAUUGCCCUUGGGGCUGGAAAAAACUGUUUUCUUUUACUAAAAAAAUUAUUCCUUGCGGGUGCGGGCAUGGGAUGGGGAUACCCAAACCUCUUGGGAUGAGAUUCAGUGUCUCAUUCUUAUUGGAUAUGAGUAGGAUAACAAUAAAUGUAUGGGAAUCGGGGAUUGGGACGGGGAAGGUAACACCCGUUCCAACCCCGCCGCAUUGCCAUGCCUACUGAUAAUGGGGGUUAAAAUUACAAAUUUUGAUUGAAGUUUUUCACUUUUGUAUUCUUAUUUGCUUUGACAUCAAAUGUGACGGAUAAUGUUAUAAAUACUUGAACAUAAUUAUUACGAUACCAAAACUCCUAUAAGUAGUAGUGUGCUCAUUCAAGAAAACAAAGAAGGUGUUACAUAAUUGAGAACCUCCUGAAUCAAAAUGAUGGUGAAUACAAAAUUUCUUCAAUUUAUAGCAAAAUGUAUUGCAAUUAUAUGCCUUCUAAUGCAGGGACACGUUCUAUGCAAUGGAGGGUUAAACUCUCAGUUCAUAGCCAGUGAAGUAGAGGCUCUUCUUAAGUUCAAGGAAGGCUUAAAAGACCCUUCAAAUCUUUUAUCUUCAUGGAAACAUGGAAAGGAUUGUUGCCAGUGGAAAGGAAUAGGAUGUAACACAACCACAGGUCAUGUUAUUUCUUUGAAUCUUCAUUGUUCUAAUUCAAGGAACGCGCCCUAUUUUUUGAAAUUUUCAGAUUAUAAAAUCCGAACUGGUGAAAAACUCUUUUUUUGUCACCCCAUAACAAAGGAAAAACUCAGUUCGAAUUCUAAACUCUGAAAAUCAGAGGGGCAUUUUUGGAAGAAAAACAAAACAGAGCACGCGAGAAUAACAUUGAUGGAAAAAGUAAUAGCCUUAGUUUUAUGAAUAUCACCUACUAUGUAUAUUCGAUUGAGAGAUUAAUAAAAUGAGUGAAUAGGCAAAACCCCCUUAAAAUUGUAACUUUCGUCAAAAUUUCCACCGAGGGGGUAAUUGACUAAUGUUUAACGAAAGUUACAAUUUUAGGUUUUUUUUUUUUUUUUUUGCCUAUUCACUCUGAAUAAAAUCUAUCCAUAAAUAAUAAAAUUUAAGUUAUUUUUCUGGGAAUGGAAAAAGUUGCAAUUUUAAAAAUUUGUUUUUUUUAAAGACUUUUCAAGAGUGAAAGACACGCAUUGAACUGAAAAAUCAAAACUAAGAGUAUGGUCUACUCUCUCAAAAAAAGACUUUGAUUUUUCUAUUUUUUUUGGUUGCAAAAGAAAAGAGAUUUUGGAAUAGCUUGUAGAAAAUGGGGCAAGAUGAUAUUACACCCCUAAAUGGAUGGUCACUAGAAGAUGCAGGGGACUAAGGAAAGAAGGAUGAAACUUACUAAAUCUAAUCAAUGGUGUUAACUUCAUAAUCAUUGACUUUGGAAUGGAAUAAUUUUGUGUGUUCCUUUCGGUUACAUUUGACAGAUUAAAUGUAGCGGGGUUUAUUUUUUUUGGUUACAAAUGUAGCGGGGGUUAGUGACUAUUUUAUUUGUCAAAAAAGAAAAAAGUUAACUCUUUUAUAAAUAAUAAUCGUAAGUAUGGUACAAUUAUUUUCCUAAAGAAUCUAAUACUCAGUGAUAAAUUGAUAAAAUAAUUGUCAACAUCAACCGCUAAUACUGGUUAUGAGGUUAAAACUUAAAAAAUAAAUUUUAAAUUGAAGUUUUUCACUUUUGUAUUCUUAACCUUUUGCUUUGAGAUUCUAAUGUUGACUUGACUCUGAAAUUUACAAUUAAAUACAUGAACAUAAUUAAUAAGGCACCGGAACUCCUAUAAGUAGUGGUGCGAUAAUUCAAGAAAAUAAAAAAAAGAGUUAAAGAGUUGAGAACCUUUAAAAUCAAAAUGAUGGUAAAUACCAACUUCCUUCAACUUAUAGCAAAAUUUAUUGCAAUUCUAUGCCUUCUAAUGCAUGGACACGUUCUAUGCAAUGGAGGGUUAAACUCUCAGUUCAUAGCAAGUGAAGCAGAGGCUCUUCUUGAGUUCAAGGAAGGAUUAAAAGACCCUUCAAAUCUUUUAUCUUCAUGGAAACAUGGAAAGGAUUGUUGCCAGUGGAAAGGAGUAGGAUGUAACACAACCACAGGUCAUGUUAUUUCUUUGAAUCUUCAUUGUUCUAAUUCCUUAGAUAAACUUCAGGGUCAUUUAAAUUCAUCUUUGCUACAAUUGCCAUAUUUAAGUUAUUUGAACCUUAGUGGCAAUGAUUUCAUGCAAUCCACAGUGCCUGAUUUUCUAAGUACUACGAAAAAUUUAAAACAUCUUGACCUAUCUCAUGCCAAUUUUAAGGGGAACCUCUUAGAUAAUCUUGGAAACCUUUCUCUACUUGAAUCACUUGAUUUGAGUGACAAUAGUUUCUAUGUCAAUAAUCUAAAAUGGCUUCAUGGACUUUCUUCCUUGAAAAUUCUUGAUUUAAGUGGUGUUGUUCUUAGUCGUUGUCAAAAUGAUUGGUUUCAUGACAUCAGAGUGAUACUUCAUUCUCUUGAUACAUUGCGUUUAUCGGGUUGCCAACUUCACAAACUACCUACGUCUCCUCCACCAGAAAUGAAUUUUGAUUCUCUUGUAACCCUUGAUCUGUCUGGCAAUAAUUUCAAUAUGACUAUCCCUGAUUGGUUGUUUGAAAAUUGUCAUCACCUUCAAAACCUUAAUCUCUCAAAUAAUAAUUUACAAGGUCAAAUUUCAUAUUCAAUUGAGAGGGUGACAACUCUUGCAAUACUUGAUCUGUCAAAAAAUAGUCUCAAUGGUUUAAUACCAAAUUUCUUUGACAAGCUAGUGAAUCUUGUAGCACUUGAUCUAUCAUAUAAUAUGCUCAGUGGCUCAAUACCUUCAACAUUGGGACAAGAUCAUGGCCAAAAUAGUUUGAAAGAAUUGCGUCUUUCUAUUAAUCAACUAAACGGGUCAUUGGAAAGAAGCAUUUACCAGUUAUCAAAUUUGGUUGUGUUGAAUUUAGCUGUAAACAAUAUGGAGGGAAUUAUCAGUGAUGUUCAUCUUGCAAACUUUAGCAACCUCAAAGUGUUGGACCUAUCUUUUAAUCAUGUAACUUUGAACAUGAGCAAAAAUUGGGUCCCUCCUUUCCAACUUGAAACUAUAGGUUUGGCCAAUUGUCAUUUGGGCCCACAAUUUCCAAAAUGGAUUCAAACGCAGAAGAAUUUCUCCCAUAUUGAUAUCUCAAAUGCAGGUGUCUCUGAUUAUGUGCCAAAUUGGUUUUGGGAUUUGUCACCUAAUGUUGAGUAUAUGAACCUCUCUUCUAAUGAGCUGAGAAGAUGUGGACAAGAUUUUUCACAAAAAUUCAAACUAAAAACACUUGAUUUGAGCAACAAUAGUUUCUCAUGUCCCUUGCCUCGUUUGCCCCCUAACUUGAGGAAUUUGGAUCUGUCCAGCAAUUUAUUUUAUGGAACAAUUUCACACGUGUGUGAGAUUUUGUGUUUCAAUAACUCAUUGGAGAAUCUUGACUUAUCUUUUAAUAAUUUGUCAGGAGUCAUCCCAAAUUGUUGGACAAAUGGGACGAACAUGAUUAUUUUGAAUCUGGCUAUGAAUAAUUUUAUUGGAUCAAUUCCAGAUUCCUUUGGUAGCCUAAAAAAUCUUCACAUGUUGAUAAUGUAUAACAAUAACCUUUCUGGAAAAAUUCCGGAGACACUAAAAAAUUGUCAAGUGUUGACUUUAUUGAAUUUAAAGUCCAAUCGAUUAAGAGGGCCCAUACCAUAUUGGAUUGGCACAGACAUACAAAUCCUAAUGGUACUCAUAUUGGGUAAUAAUUCCUUUGAUGAAAAUAUCCCAAAGACUUUAUGCCAACUUAAGUCUCUGCAUAUAUUAGAUCUUUCCGAGAAUCAAUUGACGGGUGCAAUUCCAAGAUGUGUCUUCCUUGCACUGACUACUGAAGAAAGUAUAAAUGAAAAAUCAUAUAUGGAGUUUAUGACAAUUGAGGAAAGUCUUCCGAUCUAUCUAUCUAGAACAAAGCAUCCACUUCUAAUUCCAUGGAAAGGGGUUAAUGUAUUUUUCAAUGAAGGUAGACUUUUUUUUGAAAUUCUCAAAAUGAUUGACUUGUCAUCAAAUUUUUUAACACAUGAAAUUCCUGUUGAAAUUGGAAAGCUAGUUGAAUUGAGUGCAUUAAAUUUGUCGAGGAACCAAUUGCUGGGUUCCAUUCCUUCCAGUAUUGGUGAAUUGGAAAGCUUGAACGUGUUGGAUUUGUCAAGGAAUAAUUUAUCCUGUGAGAUUCCCACUAGCAUGGCUAAUAUUGAUAGGCUCAGUUGGUUGGACUUAUCAUACAAUGCUUUGUCUGGGAAAAUUCCUAUCGGCAAUCAGAUGCAAUCAUUUGACGAAGUCUUCUACAAAGGUAAUCCACAUCUUUGUGGUCCUCCACUCAGAAAAGCAUGCCCCAGAAACAGUUCGUUUGAAGACACACAUUGCAGUCACAGUGAAGAACAUGAAAAUGACGGCAACCAUGGAGACAAGGUAUUGGGGAUGGAAAUAAAUCCAUUAUACAUAAGCAUGGCUAUGGGGUUUUCAACUGGAUUUUGGGUAUUUUGGGGAUCUUUAAUACUCAUUGCAUCUUGGAGACAUGCUUAUUUCCGUUUUAUAAGCAACAUGAAUGAUAAGAUCCAUGUCACUGUAGUUGUCGCACUUAAUAAACUGCGGAGGAAGUUUCACACUCAACAACCUCCCAUGUAACCAAACUCUUUGUUUGCUCUGUUAUUGUCUUCAGAAAUAGAAGAGACAGAAAUUGUCUCCAGUUUGUUGAUGAUUUUGAAUAAAGAAUGUUUGUCUUAAAUAUCAACUAUCUAUAACUGAUAACAACUAUAUAUAUUUUGUGUUAGUGUAUCAAACAUGAUUUGCUAAUCAUCCAAUUUGCAUCCACUGCCUUCGAUAGCAGUUACUACGUUAUGGUAUGAUUGAUUGAUGUAAUUCUAAAUUCUUUUAUCCAUUGGUUUUCUUAUCCGAUCAAAGUGAUCAAAUGAAAUGACCAUGCAUUAUAAUAAACAAAUGUAGAUAAGAAAAGUUGUAAACUCUACAGUUUAUGAUCUAUAAGUGAUAAGUAAAAAUUUCUGGCUACUACUUGCAAGUAGGACUCGAAAAGAAAAACUUCAGUUUAUGAUCUUUGUUUCACUAGUGAAAUAAAGUUAACACUAGCAUAGUCAAUAUAAGCGUCUUCUUCUGGAGGAAUCUCUUCAAGUGCCACAAAACAAAAUAAGUGAAGUUUUAAAAUUUUAAAAGACUAAAACACCACACAGACAAGAUAAGAAUGCAUUCAUAUAAAAUAUCACAAAAACUGUGUUCAUCAACAAAAGAAAUUAGGACAACAAAUCACGCUCAAGUAACUAUCUCUGUAUUUAACCCCAUAAAAAAAAAAACAAAGCAAAAAAAUAUUACAAAAAAGUGAACUAGUUGUGUGCAACAUAGGGAAUUUGAGAAAACAUUGAACGUGCAUAAUUUGCAUAAGAUCAUUUUGUUGAAAUUGUUUUCAAAUUGUGAUGUUGUGAAAGCUGAAAAUCGUGGCGCGAUUUUCAGAGGCGUGGCACGAUUUUGCUGGCAGAAUGGAUGGUUUCUGCUUAAGCAAAUCGUGGUGCGAUUUUGUGCAGGCGUGACACGAUUUGUGGAUAAGUUUGUCGAACCUUGGGUCGUACGCUUUAUGUUGGUGUAAGCCCUAGAGGCCAAUAGUUUAUGUUAAACCUAUCUUAUGUAUCAUGACCUUUAUUAUUGAAUAAUAUAUGACACUCUUUAUUUUUAUUAUAUUUAGAUAAUGUUAAUAAAGUCCUUAGAAUAGAUAGUUCGUGUAAUAAUAUAUUAAGUGUGACUUAAUCAUGAGAUUACAUUAUCUUAUAGAACGCUAUUCUUAAAUGUAUCUGUAGUCAAAGCUUUAAUAUGAAUAAAGGAUAAUAAUAAAGCGUCAAGACUAUUAUGUAUGUAGACUGAUGACCGCAUCUCAUGGGUCAUAGAUAUGAGAUAUCAAGUCUAUACAUAGAUAUAAAUAUUAGGAGUAAUAUUUAUAUUGGAUUGACCCACUGUGAGAAUACUACAUAGUAAGUUAUGAAAUUGUCAUAUGAUAUUCUCACAAUGAUAAUAAUGUAUAUCGCUCUUAGACCUGAAACCACUAUGAUCUCUAGAUGUGGACUCAAGUGUUUUGUUGUCAUUCUAACGUUGUCUAUAAUAGGAUAACAAUAACGUUGGUUGAUGAGUACUUGAUGAAUCAUGCUGAGGGCAUGAGUGUCCUAGAUGGGAUUUGUCCCUCCUCAUAAACAGGAGAUAUAUCUUUAGGCCUCUUGAUGAAAUAUGACUAUAAAUAUGCAUGGCCAUGCCGAACUAAGUCAAUAUAAGAUAUUGGACUUAUUCGUUAAAUAGUAUAUUUCGGAAUCAAGAUAAAUAAACAUUGAUCUAUACAAGGGUGACACUAUCUAUGCCUUGGGAUCAAUGAAGAUAUUGAGACAAAGGAGUAAUUAUACACUUAUGUGUUAUCAUGAAAGGUUUCGUCAGAUCACUUGACAUUCUUGUCACUUGGGUAGCAAUGAUGUGUUGCUAGAUACCGCUCAUUGUUUAUGGUAUUAAAUAUUAGAUUUAAUAUCAUUGCCAACGUGACUAGAACCUAAAGGGUCACACACAAAGAGCAGUCAAAAGAGAUAUGUAUAAGUACGACUUAUAUAAAGGGUGCGCUUAGUAAAUAAUGCUAAUGAUUUAGCAAAAUUUACUAAACUCGUAUUGGGCUUAGUGAAGUCAAAAACGAGUUUGACUUGCAAAGCACAUAAGGAGUUCUAUAAAUAGAAACCUAGUGCAAUAGUUUGCGGUUACGUUUUCCUUGCAGAAACCCUAGUUCUCUGACUUCCGUCUUCUUGGCUAGCACCGAGGUUUUGGAGGAGCACUGUUCGUGUGGACUCAAUAGAGGCUCUGCUGUUUGCUUGGCUGUGAUCGAGAUUCCAGUUCGCAGAUUCCACCGAUCGUUUUCAGACUUAUCGUUCUAAGGUAACAAUCGAAUCACUGGUUCAAGUUCCAAUUCGUAAUGAUCCAAGGAAAGUAAAUCGAAAUUUUAUUCCGCUGCUUGUUCUGUAUAUGUCGAUUUACCUUCACUUUAACCGUGGCGCGAUUUUUCACUGGCACGGCGCGAUUUUGUCUGUCACUGUGUACUAUUUAAGUGUUUCAGCUCAUUUUUGAAGGAAGAGGAGAGAGAACUUCAAGAGAGGAAAACUUGGGAAAUCAAAGGAGGUAACUUUAGGGUUAUGGGUCUUUGAUUAGAGUUCUCUUGGGUUGGGAAACAUUGUAAACACCUUGGGUGAGUGAAAAUCAUUGAGUGUCUUGUUCAUUGGUGAGAUUGGAAAAAUGGGUAGAAAUUAGGUUUGUUCUUUGUGAGCUUGUUUAAGCAAAUUUCUUGUAACCCAUUUUUAUCACUUUGCAAGAACUCUUUGAUAGUGGAUUAGAGAGAUCAAUCUCUCCCCCAGAUUAGGUCAAGUUUGACCGAACUGGGUCAACAAUCUUUGGUGUGUUUGAUUCUCUCUUCUCUCUCUAUCUUUUGCUUUUGGUUUUGAGCUUUUCACUUUGAUUACUAGAUUAGAUCUAGGUGUUGUUAUUAUUGUUGUUGUUUGUGUUCACUUUGAUAUUGGUUACUACUUUCCUUUGCUCCACACAUCAGUUUGUAUUGGUGUGAUUUUGAGUCCGGAUUCACAACAAUUGGCGCCCACCGUGGGGCAUAGGAGUGAUUUGGUUUAGUGAGUAUCAUGGGUUCAAAGUGGGAUAUUGAGAAGUUCACCGAAAGUAACGAUUUUGGGUUAUGGAAGGUGAAGAUGCAGGCGAUGUUGAUACAACAAAAGUGUGAGAAAGCUUUGAAGGGUGAAGGUGCGUUGCCGGUCACCAUGACACAAGCGGAGAAGACCGAGAUGGUGGACAAGGCUAUGAGUGCCAUUGUCUUGUGCCUCGGUGACAAAGUUUUGAGGGAGGUCGCGAAGGAACCAACCGCGCCGUCGAUGUGGUCAAAGUUGGAGUCGUUGCAUAUGACCAAGUCUUUGGCUCAUAGGCAAUUCCUUAAGCAACAAAUCUACUCAUUCAAGAUGGUGGAGUCAAAGACCAUGAUGGAGCAAUUAAUGGAGUUCAACAAAAUCCUUGAUGAUUUGGAGAACAUUGAGGUGCAACUUGAGGACGAAGACAAAACUAUACCCUUGUUGUGUGCUCUACCGAGAUCAUUUGAAUCCUUCAAGGAUAUCAUGCUCUAUGGCAAAGAAGGCACUGUCACCUUGGAAGAAGUUCAAGCGGCUUUAAGAACCAAGGAGUUGAACAAGUCCAAGUGAAGGUGAGAAAAACACAAGAAGGGGGGUUGAAUUGUGUUUUCUUUCUCUCUAAAAAUACUUCUCCUGAUAAUACUUCAUAAGCAUUUUAGGAGUGCUUCUGAUGUAAUAACCAGAAUCAGAUAUGCAGUGGAAAAGAUCAAAGCAGAGAAAAGAAAAACGAGACACAAGCAGUUAUCCUGGUUCCUCCCACAAAUCGGAAGUAGUCCAGUCCCCCUUGCACUUCCAAGGAGAUUUCACUAUAAUCACAAAGAUUACAAAUGCUCAAUACUCUCUAAGUAUGAGACUUCUCAAAAUACUCAAGCACGCAGGCAAGAGUCUUCCAAUGCUCAAGCACUAAGCAAGAGUCUUCUAAUGCUCAAGCACGCAGGCAAGAGGCUUCUAUUCAAACAAAAAUACAAAGAAAUAUGUUUGACUUGAACACUUGAUAUACAAUCAGUGGUGUUCACAAUACAAUGCAAUAAAGACUCUAGACUUGUGAAUUUCUAAGAUGUAUCAAAUCAGUGCAGAAAUUCAAUGUGCUUUGUAGAAUCAAAUUGACAGGGUUUUGGCGCUUUUUAACUUGUAUAUCUCUAUCUACAAUCUUCAAGUCUUCACUCCUUUAUAUAGAGGUGUGAAAAAGACGUUGAGAUGAUUAGCACGUCUAAAGAGUCGUUGAGUUCCUUGGAUCAUCCACCAGUAAUCCUUUGCCUGAUUUGGGUGUAGUCCUUUGAAGAAUCAACUUCAAUUUCAUUCCCAUCUUGAAGGAACAUUUCUGCAGGCAGAGCUGUUGUCUUGUCUUGUAGCGUAGACAAAAACAAAGUAGUGGAGGUAGUGGUUGUACACUUGUACUUUGUCAACUAUGUUAAUGAAGGACAAGUACUCAGUGCUCUUCAAAUGACCGUUGAUACCUCCCUUUCAAUUCUUCGUUCUUCUUAGACGAGGUUGAAACGAGAAACAACUACUUUGAAUCUUCAGCUUAAAUUUACUGAUUAAUUGUAGCUUCUGGUGAUGAUUUCGCUUUUGAUGAAAACCUUGCUUCUGAUGGUCUUCUGCUUCUGAUCAGCUUCUGCUUCUGAUGACGUCAUUACUUCAUAAGCACUCCAGCUUCAGAAGCACUUUAGCUUCAGACGCAGUUUUCUUCAGAUGCUUUGGAUUCCUUUGCUCUCCAUUGUUCUUCCAAGACCUAUUGAAAUUGAUUGACUUGCCUAUGGUCCUGUACACUUGAACAAUUAUUAGCAAUAACCAAUUGACACUUUUUAAUACCUUGUUAUCAUCAAAACUCACUAAGGUUUAUUGUGAAACACAUUUUGUUCCAACAAUCUCCCCCUUUUUGAUGAUGACAAACAAUAGUAUUUAAAAUGUUCAAUUGUUGUUGAUGUUUGCCUCUUUCACUUUAAUGCUAACUAUUAAUUUAUAUUAUUUUUACUUAUUAUCUAUCCUCCAAUGUAAGAAUAUUCACACUAUUUACAGAAUCUCUAUCUCUAUCUCUAUAUACAUGUAUUCUAAGCUACACUUUGCUCAUGUGUUUUCUCACAAAUGCCUCAUUUUCUAUCUAAUUUUAUAAGCCUUUGUUACUAUCCUUCCUUCCUAACGCUACAUUCAAACUGUUUUAACUCCUUUUACAAUUUAACGUUUUAAUGUUAAUUCAUUCUUAUAACUUCUUCUAAUACUCAUGCUAAAAGGUAGUCUAAUGGUUUCACAUUUAUAUAGAAGAUAUACACAUCCGAAGUAGUCUAACGAUUAUGUUAUGAAAAUUGUAAAGAUCACUUUUUAUUCUUAUUUAUUCAUGAUUUUUCAUUUGCAUAUUUGGUUUUAAUAAGUGUAUCCUUUUAAAACUCUUAACCUUUCACUUCAAUGAUAAUAAUAAUUAAAAACUGUUAUGUUAAUUAAUUAUAUUAUAUAUAGGUCUUAUAUAUGUACAACCCCUUGGUACACAUGUGAGUGUGAGAUUUCAAUCUGAGUGGAUUCUAUGUAUUGCAUAGGAAGAAGAAUUUUGUCAGCCGAGAGUAUUGUAGUGCAUACUUAUUUGAUACCGUUGUGGUAAUGAAUUUCAAACUUAUUUGAUGGAUUGUGUUGAUCUGUUAGAUUAUGUUGUGGUUAUAUUUAAUCUAUUUCUAUUAUUAGGAAGUAUGACUUAGUUUUUCUCUUGAGACAUAGUCUACACAUUAUAAGGCUUGUCAUGUGGUUGCAUCUAUUCUCACGCUUUCCAUUAUUGAAUUAUGUGUAAGGCUAUAUAAAGCCAAACUCUUGUUCUCAAUAAAAUAAGAUAUUCUCUCAUUAAACCAGUAUGGUAAUUAAUUGUUUUAACAAUUGGUAUCAGAGAUCCAUUAUUGGGGCCUGAUCCACAGUGAGUGAGUGAGUGAGUGUGAGGGGAAACGAUUGGGGUGAGGAAAAUAAGUGUGUAUCAAGAAAGAAAUUGCAAUUUUCUUUCAAGAAAAAGGAGUUUAAAGAAUGGGGGAAAAUGAUAGUAGUAAUUUCGUACAUUCUAUUAUUCCCAAGUUUGAUGGUCAUUAUGAUCAUUGGAAAAUGUUGAUGGAAAAUUUUCUUCGCUCGAAAGAAUAUUGGAAUCUCAUUGAAAAUGGGAUUUUGGUUGUGGAAGCAGGAGUAGAGCAAAUUGAGGUUUACGUGCUUUCAAAAUGUAUCAGAAAAUGAAUCUUAUAUCUGGCAUUGUCGGUUUGGUCAUUUAAGCUAUCAAGGAUUAAGGACACUUUUUUUUAUAAGAAAAUGGUAAAUGGGCUUCCUUCGAUCCAAAUUCCAAAGAAGUUAUGUACAGAGUGUUUGAUCGGCAAGCAACAUAGAGACUCUAUGUCUAAAAAAAGCUUAUGGAGAACAUCAUAUAAGCUUCAACUUGUGCACGCAUAUAUAUAUAUAUAUAUAUAUAUAUAUAUAUAUAUAUAUAUGUGUGUGUGUGUGGACCCAUUAAACCAGAAUCAGAUAGCAAUAAAAGGUACUUCCUCAGUUUUAUAGAUGAUUUCACUCGUAAGACAUGGAUUUUUCUUCUUACAUGAAAAAUCUGAGGCUUCUGCAAUGUUCAGAAUUUUUAAAGCUGGUGUUGAAAAGGAGUCAGGUGCAUAUAUCACCUCCUUAAAAACAGAUAGAGGUGGUGAAUUUACCUCAAAUGAGUUUGAAGAAUUUUGCAAAGUUCAAGGCAUAAGCAGAAAAUUGACUGCAGCCUAUACUCCUCAACAAAAUGGAGUUGCAGAGAGAAAAAAUAGGACGAUAAUGAAUAUGGUGCGAUCUAUGCUGGUUGAGAAGAAGGUUCCUAAAAUGUUUUGGCCCGAAGCUGUAAAAUGGAGUGUGCAUAUUCUCAAUAGAUGUCCUACAUUGGCUGUGCAAAACAAAACUCCAGAAGAGGCAUGGAGUGGUGUGAAGCCAACAAUUAAUUACUUUCGAGUUUUUGGAUGUGUGGCUCAUGCACAUAUUCCAGACCAGAAAAGAAGCAAGUUAGAUGAUAAGAGCAAGAAAUGUGUUUUGCUGGGAGUAAGUGACGAAUCAAAGGCCUACAAACUAUAUGAUCCAGUUUCCAAGAAAGUAAUCAUUAGUAAGGAUGUGAUUUUUGAAGAAGAUGUAUGUUGGAACUGGGACAACCAAAAAGAUGAAUGCAGGCUGGAAAAAUGAUUAUGAGAUUGACAUUGAAGGAGUAGAGGGAAAUGAAGAAGGAGGCAACAAUGAUGCUAGCAAUGAUAAUAACAAUAACAAUGAUGAAUCUAAUUCAUCGUCUAGUGAAUCUCAUGAGGAUGACUCACCCAAUGUCGUUGAAGGGAGGGUAAGAAAAAAACCUUCAUGGAUGGCAUAUUAUGAAACUGGUGAAGGCUUAUCUGAUGAAGAUAAUUUGAAUGCAAUGAUGAUGGUUGCUGAAGAUGAUCCACUCUCAUUUGAGGAAGCUAGAAAAAGCAAUAAGUGGAGAGAUGCAAUGAGGGCAUAAAUUGAAUCAAUAGAAAAGAAUAAGACUUGGGAGCUUACUGUUUUACCAAAUGGAAUCAAACCAAUUAGAGUUAAGUGGAUUUAUAAAACUAAGCACAAUGAGAAUGGAGAGAUAGAUAAGUACAAGGCGAGACUAGUGGCGAAGGGGUAUGCACAACAAUAUGGAGUUGACUACACUGAAGUAUUUGCUCCAGUGGCAAGACUAGAUACCAUUAGAUUAAUACUUGCUUUAGCUGCUCAACACAGUUGGGAUGUUUUUCAGUUGGAUGUGAAGAGUGCAUUUCUUCAUGGUGAACUUAAUGAAGAGGUAUUUGUGAAGCAACUGUUAGGAUAUGAGACAAAAGGUGAAGAGAACAAAGUUUACAAGUUGAAAAAGGCUUUGUAUGGGCUUAAGCAGGCACCAAGAGCAUGGUAUAGCAAGAUAGAAGCAUACUUUGUUCGAGAAGGUUUUGAAAAAUGUUUUUGUGAACAUACAUUGUUUACAAAAACAAAGGAAGGAAACAAGAUUCUAAUAGUAAGUGUUUAUGUAGAUGAUUUAAUAUAUACCAGGAAUGAUAUAAAUAUGUGUGAUGAAUUUAAAAAUUCAAUGAUGGUAGAAUUUGACAUGUCUGAUUUGGGAAGGAUGCGGUAUUUUUUAGGAGUUGAGGUGAUACAAAAUCCAAAUGGGAUUUUUGUUUGUCAAUGAAGGUAUGCCCGUGAAGUCUUAGUGAGGUUCGGAAUGAAUAAUAGUAACUCAGUGCAUAAUCCUAUAGUACCAGGAACAAAGUUAUCAAGGAAUGAUGAAGGAACCAAAGUUGAUACAACUUUAUACAUGAAGAUGGUUGGCAGUUUGAUGUAUUUGACUGCAACAAGACCAAAUUUAAUGUAUGGAGUAAGUCUCAUUAGUAGAUUCAUGUCUUGCCCAACUGAAUCUCACUGGCUUGCAGCAAAAAGGAUACUAAGGUACCUCAAAGGUACAACUAAAUUGGAUAUUUUGUACAAAAAAGGAGGAGAACACUCAAACAUGGUGGCAUAUACUGACAGUGACUUUGCUGUUGAUUUGGAUGACCGAAGGAGCACUUCUGGAUAUGUUUUCUUGCUUGGUUCUGCAGUAGUGUCUUGGUCCUCUAAAAAACAACCUGUUGUGACACUGUCCACUACUGAGGCUGAGUAUGUAGCUGCUGCAUCUUGUGCUUGUCAAUGUCUUUGGUUAAGGGGGGUGUUAGAGAAACUUGGUCAUAAAGAGAAAAAUAGCACCAUCAUUCAGUGUGAUAAUAGCUCUACAAUAAAGCUUUCAAAGAAUUCAGUUUUUCAUGGAAGAAGCAAACACAUUGAUAUAAGAUUUCAUUUUUUGAGAGAUUUGGUAAAAGAUGGAAUUGUUGAAUUGAGCUACUGUAAUUCUCAAGAACAGGUUGCAGACAUAAUGACAAAGCCCAUAAAGUUAGAUCAAUAUUUGAAACUUCGCAGGAUGAUGGGAAUGGUUGAAGCUUCAAAAAUAAACUAAAUGCAUUUUGCAUAUAGUUUAAGGGAGGGAAUGUUAGAUUAUGUUGUGGUUAUAUUUAAUCUAUUUCUAUUAUUAGGAAGUAUGACUUAGUUUUUCUCUUGAGACAUAGUCUACACAUUAUAAGGCUUGUAAUGUGGUUGCAUCUAUUCUCACGCUUUCCAUUAUUGAAUUAUGUGUAAGGCUAUAUAAAGCCAAACUCUUGUUCUCAAUAAAAUAAGAUAUUCUCUCAUUAAACCAAUAUGGUAAUUAAUUGUUUUAACAGUUACACGAUAGAAUGGUGAUCAUUGUUUAAGGUGUAGAGGGGAAACAAUUGUAUGUGCCGAAAAUGAAAUUAGGGGGAUUUAUGAAUGUUUCCAUAAAUGAUUUUGAAUUGGUAUAUUGGUUUGUAUGAUGUAUCUCUUUGUUUGUAAAGUGACUCCAAAACUAAAUGUUGUGAGUCUUUCAUAUAUAUUGUGUUCCAUUUUUUCAGUUUUUCUACCAUUCUUUCUCACGAUAGGUAAGCAAGCAUAAAUAGAGUCCUUCAUAUUGUCAGCUUUCUGUUUUAGGUAAGACUUUAUGAUUAAUAUAACUUCCUAUAUAUUUUGUUAUUUCUUCAUCGUCAAUUACUUUAGUUCUUGAAAUUGAAUUGUUUGCAUGGUAUAAACAUUGUUGUACAUCAGUCUUAGUUUGUUUGAUAUAUUUGGUUUUUGCCGCAGAUUAUUUGAGUAAUGUUGUAACUUUAGACUUACUUACAUUCAUCAAUUACAAUGGUACUAUUUCUAUAUAGUUGUUCUUAAUUCCACAUGGGCUUUUUCCCUUCAAAAUGUUCACUACAAAAAAAUGUGUAUUUUCCGGCGGCUAAAAUUUGGAUGUUCCGGCAGUUUUAGCCGCCGCUAUGUACAUUUCUGGCGGUUUCAAAACGGCCGAAAUUUUGUCUGCCACAAAGUUUAAAGCGGCGGUUUAAGAAGGACCGCCAUGUUAACUGCCGUAAUACGCGUUUGGUUAAAGCGGCAGUUUUAAACGCCACAAUAUACAUUUUUUCAGCAAAAAAAAUUGAGCAUAGUGGCAGUUUCAACUGCCGUAAUGCCCAUUUUCUAAGAAAAUUACUUUUUAUUCUUUUUGUUUAUGCGAUGUAUCAUAAGCAUAAUAAUUCUUUUUUUUUUUUUUUGAAUUGGGGAGAGAUGGUUGAGUGGACUAAAGCGGUGGAUUGCUAGUUCGUUGUACGAAUAUUUGUACCGAGGGUUCGAAUCCCUCUCUUUCCAUUUAUUGAUGAUUUGCUAUUUUUUUCCUUUUGAAAUUAUGGAGUUUCUUUUUUUUUCUUCCCUCUUUGUUUAUUUUUUUUUACUAGUUAAAGAUGUAAAAUAGAUAAAAAUAAAAUAAAAAAUAUUUCAAAUCCAGCACAAGUAAGCAAAACAAAAAGAUUUUCUUAUUCUUCACGUCCAGGAUUACGUCCUGGAUCAUUAGAUAGGAAUCUGAAGAUGAAAUGAUAAAUAAAGAAUAUCACUAUCGUGUAAACAAAUAGUUUUAGAGUAAGCAUUAAAAAAUCUUCAAGAUAACUAAAAAAACGACAGAGAAAGAGAAUAGAUUCUCUUGUAUUUCAAAUUAUGUUUCCUUUGAUACUAAGUUUAUAAGAAAUGAAGUAAUUUCAAAAAAAUAACUUAGGAAAUUUAUUUGUAGUAAGAAUUGAGUCUUUAUAUCAUCAAAAAAAAAUUCAUAUUCACAAUCAAGAUCUUGGUAUUGGUGGUGAACUCCAAUCAAAUAAUAGAAUUUUCAUUUUUUAAUGGAAAAAACAGAAAUGAUGAGAUGGUCCAAAUUUUUAUUGUCUAUCCAAAAAAAAUUAAUAUUUGGAAUCAAGGAUUCACGCUGUAAAAUUUAUCUAUCUUUAAAAAUGUUAUCAUUUUUAUUUUAGAAUAAAUUCUUAAUUUUUUCAGACAUUUUUCAAAUUAAAGAUCUUGUCGAAAACUUACAGUAGCUUGCCAAACAAAAGCUAAGAGAAAAAAUAGUAAGGGUAUUACUGGCAUAAAAUCUACAAUUAGGUUCAAAAAGCUUAGGCUUCUGGUAAUUUUGCCAAUGAAAAACAACUUGAAUAAAGGGCAGAGUCAAUAUAAAUACAUACCAAGCUAAAGAUAUUAAGCAUAAUAAAAAUGUUGUUCUUUAAGAAAAUAAAGUGGAGGUAUCGGGGUUCGAACCCCGGUCAUGGCAUCCGGUCUAACAAUUUCGACAUUUUGCCAGUUGAGUUAGGACUUCUGAGUUAUAUGAUUUGAUUUAUUAUAUAUAUAAUUUAAUUUAUUGUUAUCAUUUUUAUUUUAUUAUAUUAAAAUAUAUUAAAAUGAAAUAGAAAAGAAAAAAUCAAUUUUGAUUUAUAAAUAUAUAUAGAAAAAUAUAGAAAAGGUAAAGAAAUAAUUUGAAAAGAAAAAAUGGAAAGUAAUGAAAUAUAAAUAAGUCAACUAUUGAAUUGAUAUUUAUAGAUAGGAAUAUUACUAAAUCAAUAAAAAAAAAUACUAAAAAAAUGAAUCAACUAAGAUCAUACCCCAAUCCCUUUUUCAUUUGAACUUAUCCGGUCCAAAACAGUUUCAUUCUGAAAUCAAAAAUCGAAGAAAUCAUAUAUUCAUACAAUAUCUUAAUUGAAUUCUAUGUAAUGAUCAAUAAAUUCAGUUUAAUUUGAUAUUUAUGCAUAUCCAAAUUCUAGUAACAAUUUAAUUUAUUCUAUAGAAUAAAUUUAGAAUUGGAAUUGAUGAACAACCCAUAUUUAUUAGUGUCGAAUAAAAAAUGGGGCGUGGCCAAGUGGUAAGGCAACGGGUUUUGGUCCCGUUAUUCAGAGGUUCGAACCCUUCCGUCCGAGAUCAUAUCUAUUAACGAUGUGAUAAAAAAAGCAACGUGCAACUUGAAAAACAUGAUUAAAUUAGUUGUGGAUUCUUACAUCCGCCAUUUUAUCGAAUAGAAUUGAUUAUAGAAAUCGAGAUCAGAGGCUCGACAUCAGUUAUUAUGAUGUGCCACUAGAAUUCGGUGUUUUAGAGGACGCUAGAAGGAUUGAUGAUAGAAAUAAUAGUACAUGAUGUUUAUUUCUUUUUCAGGAUCAAGUAUCUGUGGUUAUUGAAAAUUAAUAAGUUAGAACAACUUCGUAACUAUAUUUUUGAUACACAAACCGAAAGGAUUCAAUUUGAGCAAGGUUAAAAAAAAUAUAUAUAUAUUAUUUGAAUUGUUAAAUGGAUCAAAAGUGUAUUCUAGAAAAUCAUUCAUCUUGUAUUAUUUUUUUAAAGAAACGAACAAAAUGGUUAUGUUGCUUCCAUUUUUGAGACGAUUAAAAGAUCCCCCAAGUAAUGUUAUGAUUUACGAAUAAUUUAAAGGAACUUGGAACAAGUAAAUACUAUUUAAAAAUUGUCUCAACAAUUAAUUGUAUUAGAAUGAAGAAAAACACUAGAUUCGCAAGAAGAAAAGAAAGAACAAAGCACUCCAUAAAAAAAACCAUAAAGGCUCUUUUUUCAUUUGAGUUAUUUUAAAGUUAUCAAAAUUUAGGUAUGAAGUUGCGAAUACAUAGUUUUUUUUCUUCAGAAAGAAUAAGAAAAAAAAACGUAACAACUCCAAAAAUAAUAUAAGCUUUAGAAGUAGAAGUAGCUUAUUAAAAAAAAAAAAAAAAUAGAUUGAAUUUAUAUGUGUUUAGUUUUUUUCCUUUAUCAUUUAAAAAGUAUAACAAACUAGAUGAGUAUAUAUAUAUAUUUACUUUUUCAUUAUCCCAUUUAUAUACUCUUAUACAAUUUUUCUAUAAUAAAGAUUGUUAUUGAUGUCAUUAAAAAGAUAAAAAUUUAUAUUAUAUUAUUUUUGUUAUAUCGUUGGUGUAAUCGAAAUAGAUAAUCAUGGUUAGUUUGCUUCGGUACAAGCUCCUUGUGUCGGUCCGUUGUGGAGAAAGCAGAAACGGCGAUACAAGCAACACGAUGAAUUGAUGGACUCACACUUGAGGGUAAGGGACCCAUAAUCCUAUUGCCUUAAGUUUUUUGGGUAAGAGUGUGACAUCUCUAUCACUAAAAUGGUUAUUCUAGUAUUGAUGUGGACGGUCCCCCGAACUCCCCUCAUGACACAGCAGAAUCUCCUAGAAUGGUUAAAGGCUUAUACUAUUCUUUGAUACAAAUACAAUGAACUUUCCUAUCAUUUGGCUAGUGACAGACAGCAUUGCCCUUUUAUAAGGUAACAUUUUUCUCAUCCACAAUGGACGACCCAAAAAGACUAUGCUUUAUGAAAAGUGGACAACUUUAAUGCAUCAUGAUGGAUUCUUAUUCAUAGAUAGAUUAGAGAUGUAAUUAGACAAAAUUAUGUACUAUGCUCUGAAUAGUUAAAGCAGGAAAACAAAAUUAUGGUCAGAUCCACGAAAUUUCACUUGAUAGAAAAAUUUAGGCUAAAAUAUGGUUUUAGUCCUGCAAAUAUGCCUCGUUUUGGUUUUAGUCCCUGUAAAAAAAAAUUGUUUUUGGUCCCUGCAAAAUUUUUUGUUUUUAAAAAUAGUCCCUGAAAAUUUUGUUUCCAUAGCAAAUGUGUUGCAUUUAUUUGUUUCCAAAUGAUUUGCACAAAGAUAUGAAAGCCCAUUCAACUUAGCAAAUUUUCGGUCAGAUCAAACAUUUUUAAUAUAAUUCUUAAGUUGAUGGCGUAACGACACUUCCGACACAUCUAUCAAAUUAUUUGGAUAAAACCCAGCCAUAAUCAAUUAUUUGUUCGCAUAAAAAACUGCAAAUAACUUUGCGAAACUCAAUCCUUCAAAAAAAAAAAACUUUGCGAAACUCAAACAUAAAACACAUUGUAAAAGAGAUAGUUGACUCAUUUACUAACUUGUUCUUUUGUGUUAUAUCUAUUAUUAUUUUUAAAAAAUUUAGGGAAAAGGCAUGUGGGGUUGUAGCCCCACAUAGCCCAUAUGUACAUCCGCCCAUGAGCCUAUACCCAAACACAAGAACGGGUUCUGGCACCAAUCAUGUAACUUAUAAUUAAAACUAGCAAAUUUUGCUUUAUGCCAAUAAAAAGAGAGUAGCCUAAUGUUCUCCAAAAGCUGGGGAAAGGAGUUUUGUUUUGUUUUUGAAAAUUCUAUCAAUCAUUUCCUUCCAAAUAACCCAUGAAGUUGCAAACUAAAUUAAGUGCAUGAAAGAACACCGCACCUUUGUAUAACCUGCUGAAGUUCUAAAUUAAAUGAAGUGAUUCACCAAGGUUAAGGUAUCCGCAGUAUAACACCUAACCACUGACGAACCAGAUACCAGAACAUACCAAAAUGAUUACAAAGCAAGAAAAUAUGAUCGAAAGUUUCACUUGAGUCACAUCCACUGACACAUGACUGCGUCUUUAAAACUUUAUAUAUCAACCCAAUUAUGUUCUAAAUUUUGAAGGUCUAACUCAGUUUCUGUAAUUUCGAAAUUUUGAAAGGUGAUGAACAUAAUUACACUAAUAAUGCAAGCUUUAGAAGUACAAGUUUAUUUUAUUAACCAUCACCAUGGAAUGGAUUUUACCGGCAUUCUAAUCAGGAUCAUAAUAUAAUAGUGCACCCAUCAUAAUAUAAUAGUGCACCCAACAUAUUAGUAUAUGAAAGUUGACCGGAAUUCUAUUCAGGAUCAUAUGGUACUGCAAAUCAAACGCAUUACCAAUGCUUUGGAAAAGCUACAGCUGAAUAUGUAUAUAAACUAAGGACUUGUUUGAGUUAAAGACUUUUUUUUUGUUGAAAUGAAGCUAAAGACUUUUUUUUUAGGGGAAAGCUAAAGACUUUAUUAACCAUGAAAAGAAUUUAUUAAUUAAAUUGGUUGAAUUAAGAUUUUGGAUGUUGUGCUUCUUGGAUCACGAGGUGAGAUUGGGGAUCAUCCACAUUGAACUCAGAGCAAUUACACAAGUUUAUUAGAUAUUAUACAUUUACUAAAACCCUUAAGAUUUUGCUUCAGAUCAAAAGGGAAUAGCAAAAUCGUAAAAUCGCAAUCGAAAUCGAAGGAUUUUUUUGAUACAUAAAUCGAAGGAUUUUACUCAACUAUUUUUGUAGAAUCAAUAUAGGAUAGAAAAAUUCAAAAUCAUAAAAUCACAAUCAAAAUAGAUGGAUUUUACAAAAACAAAAGUAAUGCUAAAAGUAUGUUAUAAAUUGCAUAUUGUCAUAAAUGAUUCAAAAUUUCAAGUCAAGAAAAUAUUUAUAACUCAAAGCCUAGAUGCCAGGGACACCUACGAUUUUAUGCGAACCGGUUUAAAAUUGAUCUGUAUAAAAAAAACUUCCAAGAAUCAUUCAAAGUCCUGUAAAACCUGCGAUUCUGCAGGAAUUUCAUGAUUAUAUGCAAUAUGCAAUUUCAACGUGAUUUACUAGAAUUUUGCCUAUUUUUACAUUUUGCAAUGGAUUUGGAUCGAUGAAGGUGAGUAAAGUACAAAAUCCUAUAUUUUGGAAUUUAAGUUGUGAUUUUAACAACAAUGCUUAAGAUAUUGAGUUCAUUGGCAUCUCACCGAUAAAACUAAUAAAAUGUUCAACAUCCACUUUUAUGAGCAAUACGAGACUUCUAACUCAAACUUGGGGAACAAGAGUGCUUCAUUAACCAAAAUUUUAUUCUCACUUAUUCAUGCAUGCUUGUUGAGAAUUGGUUGAAUUAGAGGUUUCUUGAUUCCAAUCUCCUACAAUGGUAAAAUGCAUUUACUAUUUUUCACUAGAUGCUAUUUUACGAGUCUUUGAUACAAACACAAUGAACUUUCCUAUCAUUUGACUGGAGACAGACAACAUAACAUGGUUGUACAAAAAAUUUCAAUGUUGUCUUGCUCUUUUUAAGGCAACAUUUUUCUCAUCCACAAUGGACGACCCAAAAAGACUAUGCUUUAUGGAAAGUGGAAAACUUAAUGCAUCAUGAUGGAUUCUUAUUCAUUGAUAGAUCAGAGAUGUAAUUAGACAAAAUUAUCUACUAUGCUCUUAAUAGUGAAAGCAGGAAAACAAAAUUAUGGUCAUAUCCACGAAAUUUCAUUGAUAGAAAAAUUUAUAUGGGUCAUGUUCCAAGAAAUUUCUCUUAAAACUUUUUUUCCUGUUCCACAGUGCAAAACACAUGACAUAUUGUGUAUGCAUAUUUCUGAAACUUUAUAAAACAAACCAUUUGUGUUGUUGUUGUCACUCAGAGUAAUUAACCAACAAUGAGAUCGAUUACAUUACUUUCAUCGUUUUCCAUCCUUAUCUGCUACUACUGCAUUUUUUUCACUUUCCAGAACUCUCUUGCCUCUGCCAAAUGUCUUGAGGAUCAACAAUCACUGUUGCUCCAAUUAAAAAACAAUCUCACAUAUAUUUCUCCUGACUAUAUCCCCAAACUAAUAUUGUGGAAUCAAAACACGGCUUGCUGCAGUUGGAGUGGUGUUACUUGUGACAAUGAGGGAUAUGUUGUUGGCCUUGACCUGAGUGGAGAAUCUAUUUUUGGUGGAUUUGACGAAUCAAGUAGUCUUUUCAGUCUCUUGCAUCUCAAGAAACUGAACUUGGCUGAUAAUUAUUUAAAUUCUUCCAUUCCAUCAGCUUUCAACAAGUUGGAGAAGUUGACUUAUCUGAAUUUGUCAGAUGCUGGAUUUCAGGGGGAGAUUCCAAUUGAGAUUUCCCAUCUUACAAGGUUGGUUACUCUUGAUAUCUCUUUCCCAUUCUAUCAUCUCGACUUCUCUUUCAUUUUCAACCAGUUUUUCUCAUUUGGACCACUACCAAAACUUAAAAUCUCAAAUCUACAAAAGCUUAUCCAAAAUCUUACCAAUAUUAGGCAACUGUAUCUAGAUGGUAUAAGUAUAACAUCUCCGGGAUAUGAAUGGAGUAAUGCUUUGUUACCGCUGCGUGACUUGCAAGAGUUGAGCAUGUAUAACUGUAGUCUAUCAGGACCCCUUGAUUCCUCCCUUUCAAAACUAGAGAACCUAUCGGUCAUUAUUCUUGGCGAGAACAAUUUUUCAUCCCCAGUGCCACAAACAUUUGCCAAUUUUAAAAACCUAACCACCCUCAAUCUUCAAAAUUGCGGAUUGACAGAUACAUUUCCACAAAAGAUCUUCCAAAUUAGAACACUGUCAAUUAUUGACUUAUCUGACAACCCCAAUCUCCAUGUUUUUUUCCCUGAUUACUCACUUAGUGAAUAUCUUCAUAGCAUUAGAGUGAGUAACACAAGCUUCUCUGGAGCAUUUCCAAACAAUAUCGGUAACAUGACAAACUUACUCCUAUUGGAUAUUUCUUUCUGUCAACUAUAUGGAACACUUCCCAAUUCACUGUCAAAUCUCACACACCUUACCUUCCUAGACCUUUCUUAUAAUGAUUUAAGUGGUUCAAUUCCUUCAUACCUUUUUACACUCCCAUCAUUGGAGAAGAUUUGUCUUGAAUCCAACCAUUUUAGUGAAUUUAACGAAUUCAUAAAUGUGUCUUCCUCUGUGUUGGAGUUCCUUGAUUUAAGUAGCAAUAAUAUAUCAGGGCCUUUUCCAACAUCUAUCUUCCAGCUCAAUUCACUUUCUGUCCUCAGUCUUUCCUCUAACAAGUUGAAUGGAUUGCUUCAGCAAGAUGAGCUUUUGAAGCUUAGAAAUUUACAUAGUUUACACCUUUCAUACAACAACAUAUCAAUCAUUGAGAAUGAUGCAAAUGCUGAUCAGACAACCUUUCCCAAUUUUGAACGUCUUUUUUUGGCAUCCUGCAACUUGAAAACUUUCCCUAGAUUCUUGAGAAAUCAAUCAACAUUAAUCAAUCUAGACCUGUCAAAUAACCAAAUUCAAGGAGUUCUGCCCAACUGGAUUUUGACACUACAAGUUCUUCAAUACCUUAAUAUUUCACACAAUUUUCUCACAGAAAUGGAAGGCUCUUCGCAAAAUAUUGCUUCCAACCUUUUAUAUAUUGACCUUCAUAACAACCACAUUCAAGGAAUACCUGUUUUUCUUGAAUAUCUUGAAUAUUUGGAUUACUCGACCAACAAAUUCUCUGUUAUCCCGCAUGAUAUUGGUAAUUACCUGUCUUACACACAGUUUCUAUCUCUUUCUAAUAAUAGUUUACAAGGAAGCAUCCCUGAUUCCCUUUGCAAUGCUUCAUAUCUGCAAGUGCUUGAUCUUUCCUUCAACAACAUCUCAGGAACAAUUUCUCCUUGUUUAAUUACAAUGACUAGUACCCUUGAGGCAUUAAAUUUGAGGAAUAACAAUCUAAAUGGCACUAUACCAGAUAUGUUUCCAACUUCUUGUGUUGCAAGCUCUUUGAACUUCCAUGGAAAUCUCUUACAUGGGCCGAUUCCCAAGUCUCUCUCCAACUGCUCAUCGUUAAAGGUAUUGGACAUUGGAUCAAAUCAAAUUGUUGGUGGUUUUCCAUGCUUUUUGAAAAACAUACCAACACUUAGUGUCUUGGUUUUGCGAAACAAUAAAUUUCAUGGUUCCAUAGAAUGUUCAGAUUCUCUAGAAAAUAAGCCUUGGAAAAUGAUUCAAAUUGUGGACAUUGCUUUCAACAAUUUCAAUGGAAAAAUACCAGAAAAAUAUUUCACAACAUGGGAAAGAAUGAUGCAAGAUGAAAACGAUUUGAAAUCAGACUUCAUCCAUAUGAGAUUUAACUUCUUCUCAUAUUACCAAGAUAGUGUGACAGUUUCCAAUAAAGGUCAAGAACUUAAGUAUGAUAAAAUUCUAACAAUCUUUACAGCCAUUGAUUUCUCAUCCAAUCAUUUUGAAGGACAAAUACCAGACGUGCUAAUGAAAUUUAAAGCACUCCUUGUUUUCAACUUUUCAAACAAUGAUUUUUCUGGUGAAAUCCCAUUAACUAUUGCAAACCUGAAACAGUUAGAGUCCUUGGACCUCUCAAACAACUCCUUGGUUGGUGAAAUUCCUCUGCAACUUGCAAGCAUGUCAUUCCUUUGUUAUUUGAACCUUUCGUUCAAUCAUUUGGUUGGGAAGAUCCCAACAGGUACCCAACUUCAGUCAUUUGAAGCAUCUUCGUUUGAAGGUAAUGAUGGCCUAUAUGGACCUCCAUUAACUGAAACACCAAAUGAUGGGCCGCACCCACAACCAGCAUGUGAGAGGUUUGCUUGUUCAAUUGAAUGGAAUUUUUUAAGUGUGGAAUUGGGAUUUAUUUUUGGACUUGGAAUCAUCGUUGGUCCCCUCUUGUUUUGGAAGAAAUGGAGAGUAAGUUAUUGGAAACUCGUAGACAAAAUUCUAUGUUUGAUUUUCCGGAGGAUGCAUUUUGAAUAUGUAACUGAUAGAGGACAGACAUACAGAAUUUUAAGGUGGUGAUAGAAUUAAUGCUAGGGAUUGUGAUAACUAUUAAAAUAAUGUUUUGUAUUUAUAUUGAAGUUGUACUUUGUGUGUAUUAACUUUCAUUGAGAAUUGUGGUGAUAGUGUUUCAUUCAAAACAGAAAUAUAUAAGUUAAUUUAUAACUAUAAACAUCAUAAUCAAACUGGAAACACAAAUAGGAUACAACUCCAAAAUCUAGAUAUAGCCAAUUACUUCAUUUUGGUAAAACAAUUGCUUAAUUUGUUUUUCUGAUCGUCAACUGGAUAAUGACAUCAUUUGACAUACACAUGGAUACACCAAAUGAUAUAUUACUAUAGUGUUUUUGGUCUUAUUUUUAAAUUAGUUCAUGUGAUUUCCAAAUUUUGAAAGGCGGUGAUCAUAACAUAAUAGUAUAUGAGAGUUGACAUACAUUUACUUCCUCAGGGGUAUCAGAAGCAACAUGAUAGAAGUCUAUUCAACUUUGGUGUCUCACUAGAAGCAAGAUUGGAAGGAUGGGUGAACAGAAGCCAUUGCAGAAGCCAUAAGCUAAGGGAAUAAAUUGUUCCAAAACCAUAGGUGAUUAAGCCAUUCUGAAUGUCAUUUACAUGGUUAUAUCAGAGAUUAUAUACUUAAGUUGUUGUGUGAAUGGUUCAGGAGCAGUUUAUGCAUGUUUGGAUGUAUGGGGUAGAGCUUGGGAUGAUUCUGAAAUCUCUAGAAGCAAUAAGCUGAAGUUAAGCUAUUCUUGUUUUUUAGCUUAAUUUGUUUGGUGAAGGGUUUCAAGGGGAUAGCAGAAGUGGUUUUAUUGUUGUUAGGAGCAUCAAAUUGAUGGUGUUGCUGUUAGGAGCAUCAAAGGAAGAAUUGUAACACCCUAAACCCCUUAAGCGAUAAAUUACGUAAAUAACACAAAUCAUGCAAAGGAUUUAGAUGCUAAUUCUUCUAUAAGUUCAACAUGCAUAAAAAUUUCUCACACAUCGCAGCGGAAUAAUUAUAUCAUCACAUAGACAGCUAAAUAAAACAUCUCCAAGUAGCCAUGUUACAUAAUCAUACUACAUCACCAAAUAUAAAACCUCAACUCAAUAUACUGAGUGAGUAAAAUCUCCACAAGUCAUAAAGGUAAAUAAACAGACAGACACCCCUAAAUCAGAGUCCGACUCUAAGACUCCUAAAGCAAAACGAUGUAGCUCCAAAGCUAACAUCCAACAACUCACCAAGCUAAAGCAAACUAUUCAUGCACGCCGUCUACCCAUUCAUAAGAAUAAGGUAGGCGGUCAACCAAACGACCAUUAGGGGUUAGUUCACAAUCACAAUAAACAUAAUCAAAUGAAAGUAAAUUGCAUAAUUUAAAUUCACAUGUUUAAAAACCUCAACAUCAUCAUAAAUCAUUGAGUAUGCAAGCACAAUCAAGGAAGGAAUACUAUUCACCUUUUUCGAGUAUUCACGACGAUCACCAAAAUUUCACCAAUGCACAUAUACACUGAUUCACAUAUAUUCAAGUAUGACUUGACUCACCAAAAUUAAAAUCUCUAAACAAAAAUCUCUAGAUUCUUUUAACACAAAAUCUAUUUUUUUAAAUCUAUUUAUAGGAUUAGCUUUUCUCAAAAUCUUUUUUUUUUUUUUUAGCUGAAACAAACGCACUGAAUAGCCACUUCAAAGUAGAGAUAAAAAAGGAACUAACAAUGUUGGCCUUCCCUUUCAAGAAUCAAAUCAAAUUUGAAACACAUAAAGAUAAACGCUUAGGAUUUGAUUUUCAAACAACCACUUCUUUGUUAAUUACAUGGAAGAAAUUUGUAAUUUGACUACUCAUUCUGCUAUUUUUCCUACAGAUUGUCAUGACUAUCUUGAUAUGUAUAUUAGCAAGUUCUUAAGGGAUAUAAUCAAGAGAACUAUUCGUGGCUAUAUCAUUGUACAAGGAAGGGCUGAUGCACCAUGAAUCUUGGUGGAGUAAAGGUAUUACUCUUUCAGGGGGAAUUCAUACUAAGAAAUCUACUAGGAAUUUCAAUGAAUCUAAGAGUAGUAAAAGUUAUCAACCAGGGAGUUUGCAAAAGAAUACAAUUCUUUGUGAAAAGAAAUGGAGAAUUUCUGUGUAUUUCAUUCUUUAAUUCAUGAUCAGCUUCCAAUUUUUAAAUGCUGCAACAGAAAUUACAAGAAGUGAGUACAGUGUCACCAUAUAUUAAUUCUAUUAUUUAUGACAAAAAUGAUUAUACAAUUCAAUUCAACAACAAAAAUCAAAAUCUAUAGAAAAUGAUUAUCAUCUGCUUUAAAAUGACUAUGAUUUCUCCACUUGAGUGCUAAUUGAGAAAAAAUGUUUGUAGAAGAACCAUCUUCUUUGAGUGCAUUAGAAGCGGCUCCUACAAGUGACCCUACAUUGACUUGCCUGAUUAACUUUCUUGAUUCCAAUCUCCUACAAUGCUUAAAUUCUUUGAUACAGAUACAAUGAACUUUCCUAUCAUUUGACUGGUGACAACAACAUAGCAUGGCUUAAAUUCUUUACAGCCAUUGAUUUCUCAUCCAAUUAUUUUGAAGGACCAAUACCAGAGGUCCUAAUGAAAUUUAAAGCAGUCCAUGUUCUCAACUUUUCAAACAAUGCUUUUUCUGGUGAAAUCCCCUCCACUAUUGCAAGCCUAGAACAGAUAGAGUCCUUGGACCUCUCAAAUAACUCUUUGGUUGGUGAAAUUCCUGUGCAGCUUGCAAGCAUGUCAUUCCUUUCUUAUUUGAAGCAUCUUCGUUUGAAGGUAAUGAUGGACUAUAUGGUCCUCCACUGAAUGUAACACUAUAUGGUAAAAGGCAAGAUGAACUGCACCCAUAACCAGCAUAUGAAAGGUUAGGUUGUUCAAUUGAUUGGAAUUUUUUAAGUGUGGAGUUGGGAUUUGUUUUUGGGUUCGGAAUCAUCAUUGGUCCCCUCUUGUUUGGAAGAAAUGGAGAGUAAGUUAUUGGAAACUCGUAGACAAGAUUCUCUGUUUGAUUUUCCGGAGGAUGCAUUUUGAAUAUGUAAUUGAUAGAGGAAAGACAUACAAAAUUUUAAGGUGGUGAUAGCAUUAGUGCUAAGGAUUGUGAUAAAUAUUAAAUCGAUGUUUUCUAUUUUCAUUUAAGUUGUAUUUUGUGUUUACUCCUUUGUGUGUGAUGAUAUGUAUUAUAACUUUGAAUGAACAUUCUAUAAAGUUUAAAUAAAACAGUGUCAUUGAGAAUUAUGGUAAUAGUGUUUCAUUCAAGAUACAAAUAUCGAUUUAUAACUAUAAUCAUCAUUCUCUUAAAAUAAAAUAAAAACUAUAAACAUCAUAAUCAAACCGAAAACCCAAAGGAAAGAUUUAUAACUCGAAAAAGGGAAACCAAAGAGGAUACAACUCCCAAAUCAUGAUAUAGAUCCUUUAUAACAUUUGUUCGAUUUGAUUCUGAUUGUCAGCUAGAUAUUGAUACCAUUUGACAUACACAAUUGAUACCAUUCUCUGCCUAAUUAACAUCUUGUUAACGUGGAUUUCUUUUUGAGUUGAACUUGUUAACAUGUUGUCAACUGUUUUAUUCACAUAUUUUUAAAUUAAGAUAUCCAAUUAUUAUGUUCUAAAUUUUGAAGGUUUAACUCAGUUCAUAUGAUUUCCAAAUUUUGAAAGGGGGUGAACAUAAUUACAAUAAUAAUGCAAGCUUUAGAAGUAGAAGUUUAUCCAACAUAAUAGUAUUUGAGAGUUUAUCCAACACUAAGUAUAAUUCGCUACGAGAAGCGAAGCUCUCUUCGUGGCCUAUUCUUUCCCAUUCAAAAUUCUCUUCAGUUGAGUUUUUAUAGUGAUGUUGAUUGGGCAGGAUGCCCUGAUACUCGACGCUCUGUCACUGGUUGGUGGAUGUUUUUUUGGCUCUUCAUUGAUCUUGUGGAAAAGUAAGAAGCAAGCGAGAGUCUCUAAAUCUUCUACUUAAUCUGAGUAUUGUGUCAUGUAUGCUGCUUGUUCUGAAAUAAUUUGGCUUCGUGGUCUUUUGGCUGAACUUGGAUUUCCUCAAAUAGAGUCGAUCUCACUUUAUGCUGACAAUACAAGUGUCAUUGACCAAUCGCAUCAAUUUGAAAGGGGUGUGAAUAAGAAGUCCUCUUUAUUAUAUUUAUUAGUUUGUUUCUAGAAAUAAGGACACAAAUCAGAAAUUGAUUUGUUCUCGUUAAUUAUAAUUACUUACUGUAAUCACCUGUAUAGCCUUAUAAAAUCUAUAUAUACACAAGAAAUAACAAUGAAAAAGGUAUCAAGCCAAUAUUCGUGACACACACUCCCACAAACGUACUCCACGCAUAUCCACAUGCUUUAAUAUCUAGAGAAGUGCUAUAUGGUGCGAGAGACAACUCAUGACAACACCAUGAAUGUUUUGAUUUAUCACAUAUCACAUGGACUUUAAGUAUGGAUUUCACACAGCUGACAUACCUUCAAUUCAACACAUGCUAAAGCUAAACCACACCUACUAGCUAUAUAUUUAGCCAAGUUUACCUACACUCAAUGUUUCUACAACCAUACAGGGCCGGACCUUGAGGUGUGCAAACAGUUCAAUGGAGCUAGGCCUCCUCAAUGUACUAACCAUUCUGAAAAUUAGUGCUCUGAUAAUAAAACAGACUUGAUUUGGUGUUUAUAGGUGGAAAUAUUUUUAAGAUGUGAAGUAGUUUG